RNAcentral lists this non-coding RNA (97 nucleotides) under Aedoeadaptatus coxii. RNAcentral describes it as "Peptoniphilus coxii SAM-I sequence". It matches the Rfam family "SAM riboswitch aptamer (S box leader)". From Rfam's summary of the family: The SAM riboswitch is found upstream of a number of genes which code for proteins involved in methionine or cysteine biosynthesis in Gram-positive bacteria. The SAM riboswitch acts at the level of transcription termination control. The record is from Rfam by way of RNAcentral. Lineage: Bacteria; Bacillati; Bacillota; Tissierellia; Tissierellales; Peptoniphilaceae.
UUCUUAUCAAGAGUGGUGGAGUGACUAGGCACUAUGAAACCCGGCAACCUGUAAAGGUGCUACAUCCUACAGGCGCGUCAGGUCUGAAAGAUAAGAA